RNAcentral lists this transfer RNA (85 nucleotides) under Limnochorda pilosa. It matches the Rfam family "tRNA". Rfam says of the family: Transfer RNA (tRNA) molecules are approximately 80 nucleotides in length. Their secondary structure includes four short double-helical elements and three loops (D, anti-codon, and T loops). Lineage: Bacteria; Bacillati; Bacillota; Limnochordia; Limnochordales; Limnochordaceae. The record is from Rfam by way of RNAcentral.
GGAGGGGUGACGGAGCGGCCGAACGUGGCGGUCUUGAAAACCGCUGGGCCGCAAGGCCCCGUGGGUUCGAAUCCCACCCCCUCCG